Molecule: small RNA, 28 nt
Filed under: Bombyx mori (domestic silkworm)
Lineage: Eukaryota; Metazoa; Arthropoda; Insecta; Lepidoptera; Bombycidae
Description: ovarian small RNA-34351
Source: RNAcentral
UGCUUUGUGGCCCGGCUGGCCGCAACGG